GUGGCUCCGAUUGUGGUAGGGCCCUCGGUCGAUCUUUUCUACCUUCAGGCUGACAUUGAAUGAAUCUAUCAAGCCGACUUCGUCUGAUGAGCUCCUCGAUCUCAUCUCGGAGCUGAAUACACUCCUCCAUGUCGUGACCGUGGUCACGAUGAUAGAAGCAAAACUUGUUAGGGUUGCACUUCUCGGGGUGUGUGUGCAUCCUUUCUGGCCUUAGCAGCUACUCCCUGACCUCCAUCAGCACUUGAGCUUUUGGAGCAUUGAGGGGGGCAUAGCUGUGAAAUCUUCAUGGGGGAUAGCUCCGUCGAACCCUACGGUCCGGGCUCCUC
RNAcentral lists this long non-coding RNA (326 nucleotides) under Elaeis guineensis (African oil palm). RNAcentral's name for it is "long non-coding RNA (EGUI_LNC066112)". Lineage: Eukaryota; Viridiplantae; Streptophyta; Magnoliopsida; Arecales; Arecaceae. The record is from RNAcentral.